RNAcentral lists this microRNA (22 nucleotides) under Eisenia fetida (common brandling worm). Its description in RNAcentral is "Efe-Mir-10-P4c_3p (mature (guide))". Lineage: Eukaryota; Metazoa; Annelida; Clitellata; Crassiclitellata; Lumbricidae. The record is from RNAcentral.
AGAAGCUCCGUUCUACGGGUCU